CUUCCCUGGAGCUCCAAUCAGUGCCCACAGCGCAGGGCGGGAUGAGGCCAGGGCCCCCGGCAGCCGCACCGCAGCUUUGGCUGAGGAGAGGAGCCAGCAGUGCAGCUUUGUGACAAUCCUCUGGCGUGCUGGAUGGGGCUCCGGGCAGGGCCGCGCUUCCCUGGGGUUUCUAGCUCCCGGGAGCCCCGAUGCCUGGGUUCGAGCCCCUGGGUUCAGAGCCCCUCGCGGCCUUUGCGCCGCUGCCCAGGUGGCUGCCCUUCAUGCUGACGUUCCAGCUAUACCCUUCAGUACCGAGGACGCUGCCUUUCCAAACUAUAAAACCCACAUACAUACGAACACGGAAGCGCCCAUGCUGCUGCAGAAAGCGGAAUAGCACAACUUGUACAGAGCUUUCUCAAUCCCUUCGCCCUGCAACCACUGUUCCGUUCAACGUUGUUAGAGUUCUUUCCAGCUGAGCUGUUAAGUUGAAGUGACUUCUCAAGAGGACAGCCUGAGAUCUGGAGAAAUCCCCUGCAGCUGUGAGAGUAUGGACGACAGGAAGGCAAAACCAAGACAGUGCCCACAGACCUCGUAUACGAGAAGCUACCCUUGUCACUUGGCCAUGGCUCCAAGCCUCUGGAGAACUCAAGAAAAAAAAAAGAUUAUUUAAAUAAUACCUGAAAAUAAACAUCAUCUAGGACGUCUGUCUUCCCCUGCUUUUGCAAGAGGGUCUUCACUUCAGACGUGCUACUGGUCUGGAUGGACGACGCUCUCUUUGUGUUAUCAGAAGAUUUAAUAUCAAGAAUAUGAAUUUUCCUAGUCAGGAUGCAAAAAAGACCAUUGACUCAGUGGAGAUCUGGAGGCUCAGAACAGGAAAGGACCUACCAGAAUGGAAUGUAUCUUCAUCUGCAAAGAUUAUGUGCCAGACUGCAUAUAUAGGUCUUAAAAAAACAAGAGGAAACACACUAAAGUGUUUUCAGGCUGGAGACUCCCUGCUACAGCAACAAACCCUCAAGAGUUUUUAUUUACUGUUAGAGAGCAACAUUGCUUCUACAGGGGCAAGAAGCAUGAGUUUUACUUUUGCAUUUGAGACAGCCGAAGACACUUGA
RNAcentral lists this long non-coding RNA (1088 nucleotides) under Numida meleagris (helmeted guineafowl). RNAcentral's name for it is "lncRNA (ENSNMEG00000020015.1)". The record is from RNAcentral. Lineage: Eukaryota; Metazoa; Chordata; Aves; Galliformes; Numididae.